SGGCGUGCCUACCAUGCAAGUCGAACGAGAACCCAUUCUUAUGAUUGGGGGGCAGUGGCGGACGGGUGAGUAACACGUUGGUGACCUGCCCCGAAGAUAGGGACAACCCCUCGAAAGAGGGGCUAAUACCUAAUGUGCUUGCGCUGUUUAGAAAAGCGCAAGUAAAGCUCCGGCGCUUCGGGAGGGGCCAGCGGCCUAUCAGCUAGUUGGUGAGGUAACGGCUUACCAAGGCGAUGACGGGUAGGGGGCGUGAGAGCGUGACCCCCCACAAUGGAACUGAGACACGGUCCAUACUCCUUCGGGAGGCAGCAGUGAGGGAUAUUGCACAAUGGGGGAAACCCUGAUGCAGCAACGCCGCGUGGGUGAUGAAGGCCUUCGGGUUGUAAAACCCUUUUCUGGGGGAAGAGAAAGGACGGUACCUCAGGAAUAAGUCCCGGCUAACUACGUGCCAGCAGCCGCGGUAAAACGUAGGGGGCGAGCGUUAUCCGGAAUUACUGGGCGUAAAGGGCGUGCAGGC
Molecule: ribosomal RNA, 517 nt
Filed under: uncultured bacterium
Lineage: Bacteria
Description: bacterial SSU rRNA
Rfam family: Bacterial small subunit ribosomal RNA
Source: RNAcentral